Molecule: non-coding RNA, 26 nt
Filed under: Mus musculus (house mouse)
Lineage: Eukaryota; Metazoa; Chordata; Mammalia; Rodentia; Muridae
Source: RNAcentral
UGGUAUACAGUGUUACCUUACCUGGC